Molecule: long non-coding RNA, 262 nt
Filed under: Gossypium raimondii (Peruvian cotton)
Lineage: Eukaryota; Viridiplantae; Streptophyta; Magnoliopsida; Malvales; Malvaceae
Description: long non-coding RNA (GRAI_LNC009806)
Source: RNAcentral
GGUCCGCCAAGAAUUACUUCAUGCGGGAGAUGGAUUAUCAAGUGAACCAUAAUAGUGAAGAAGGAAUGUGAGAAGAUUUUUUUCAUGUUGCAUAAAGUCAAAGUGGCUCGAUCCUGUACCUUCUGAAGUUCUUGAACAUCCAAAACUUUGACACAAAUGACUUUCAUUAUAUUGGAUAGUUCAAUUAUACAAGGCGUCACCUUCAAAAUACAACAUAGUAGAGCAACUGGUAGUAAAUCUUGCAUCAAGAUGUGAUAGUCAU